RNAcentral lists this long non-coding RNA (2185 nucleotides) under Gadus morhua (Atlantic cod). Its description in RNAcentral is "lncRNA (ENSGMOG00000034300.1)". The record is from RNAcentral. Lineage: Eukaryota; Metazoa; Chordata; Actinopteri; Gadiformes; Gadidae.
CACAGACACACACACACACACACACACACACACACACACACACACACACACACACACACACACACACACACACACAUACAAACACAGAAAAUGUUGUUGUACUUUUCAUUGUUUAGUAGUUCUUAAGUACAUGUAAUACUUUUUUCAGGAGGAAUUACACUGGCUGAAACGACGAUACCAGUCUGUGAUCAAACCAUCAUCACCGUCUCUACCGGCUUUACUGAUACAUCCGUUAGCAUUAACGUUAAGUCACUUUGUUGCACCAAUUUUCCCAAGAGCACUAACCGCGAGCCGCCAAGAAUGUAGACAACAGCAAUAGGAAACGGCAAUAGAGCCCUCCUUUAUACUUUUGUAACACGCACUACCUUGGUACUUUGAGUGAUACGAAUACUUAUUUUUGUUUUUGAAGGUGUUAUCAUUUUUAUUGUAGUGUAAGACAGGAAGGUAUGGGAGAUAGAGGGGAAGAGACGCAGUAAAGGACCACUGGCAGGAAUCGAACCCCGGUCAUUGUGGUAAGGACUGGGCCUUAAUGGUACACGCUCUACUCCGUAAACCACCUGGGCGCCCGAAAUGAUUGUUUUUGAGCUGAUUCCUUUUUAUUCUAUGCUUCUCUUUAGUGUCCUACCUGGUGUACCACAUCUUCUUUUGGAAGACGGAGCAGAUGAAGAGGACAGGGAGACUGGCCAGCACAGGACUCAGAAUAAAACAAUGCCAAAAUGCUGGCUAUGCAUUAUUCACAGCGACAUUAAAACACACUGGGGCCACCAUGACCAGGACCCCGACACAUAGGCCCCUGUCUGGCUGGUCAGUGGCAAUCUGAGGCCAGAAGAAGACUGCUAUCGUUCACUAACCAGGAGGGCCACUGUGCUUGAAAGGUACUAAAGCAACGUGAUCUCCAACCUGACCUAUAAAAACAAUAACUAUGAUAAACAAUAACUUGUUUAUCAAAAUGACCCAAAAGGCCCCAUAUGGGCCCCCCCCACCCCAUAUUUCACCACAUCACCUAUCGGUAGGGGCUGACCUCAUCUCUAUUGAAUGUGAGCAUGGAGACAUUAUGCUUUGUGACUCACUUCCUGUAGGGCUAGAGUCCCCAAAUUGAUCAUUAUAAAAUAAGUGUCUAAUUAUAAGUCUAAUAAUAAUAAGAGUCUCUUUAUAAUAAUAAUAAUAAUUAUUAUUAUUAUACCAUAAAGAGACCGAACACACACACGUCCUCUUCUUUGAUUCCAUCUCUUUAGACCAAGAAUGUCCCUACAAGUCACACUGCAGACACAUUGUGGUUGUGUUUCCUCCAUCCAUUGCCCGCCCCCCCCCCCCCCCCCCCUCCCCCCUCCCCCCUUCCCCUAGUAUAUGAACUACAUCUGCCCUCCUGCGGCCUACAUCAGAUAACGUCCGUCCAUCAUGCCGUAUCUUUCGUCGUCUUACAACAGGACUACCUGAGCCAUGACGAAGGGCCAGACUCCUCCUACAUGAGGCACGUUGACCCGUCUACUCAACGUUGAGGAAAAAGAAGGGGAGUCCUACAUCUCAUAUCUUAUAGCAUCCAUUGCCCCAGUCCUAUUUUGACCAAAUUGUGAUAUCUAACCUAACUGUACUUUCUUGCUUCUGAUUCCCUUUGCCUAGUUGGCUGUAUCCUAAGCCAAUCACCGUGGUUUUUACAUUCCACAAUCACUAUCUAAGUCAUCUAUUUGACUUGGGCAUUUUUGACGCUGCAUUAAAGAUUAAACUUAUAAUAUGAUCCAGGCGAUUAUGCUAUGAGGCUAGCGAUCUGUAAAUGUCAGUGGGAACAUGGAUAGGGGCACAGGUGGCGAGGCAGUAUGAGAAACACGUGGUGGUGGUGGUGGUGAUAAAAUAAUGAAAAAAACAAGAAGACACCUGCUUUUGUGAAACCCAACCUGUUUCGGUGCGUUCCGGGGCUCACUGGUUUUGAGAGGCUCAGUUGAUGGUGUUGAUGUUGGAGGCUGGAUGUAUUAUGCAGUGCAUUUAAUGUGUCAACGUUCUAGGAUGGGAUGGUGGAUGACCUCAUGCCUAACAGUUCCAUACAGCUGCUGUGGAAGUUCAUGAAGAUCCUAUUCCAGAAGAUUAAGAGAGAAGAACGUUAGUCUACCCAUGAGUGAAUGGUUUGGAUUCAUCAUUAUUUAAUUUUCGUUCUCCUAAACUAUAUAUGAACUAUACAUUAACUAAAUAU